AUUAACAAUUAAAUUAAUACUUGCUUGCAAUUAUUCUGUAGUGUUGAUGAUCACCACCUAACGUGGCAAUGGUAUCAACAUUGCGGAUAAAUACAUUAUCCGUUUCUCUAUGUAUAGAAUGGUUAGUUGACUUGAGUUGGAUAAUGUAGCUGACGGUGAAUGUAAUAUUUAUCCAUGUACACUUGACCCUUCAGGAAUGUACGGUAAAAUUGAAGUUAUAGCAUUACCCUGUGCAAAAAUGUCAAUGAAAUAGGGGUGUUAGCUACAAUGCAAAGAAGAUUUUAGAUACUAGAAAUAACUUCGUAACUAUAAAAGGUUUAGGUGGAGAAAUUGCAUAACAAAGUUUUAAGAUACACUUUCAAAAAUAACAAAUUUGUAAAUUUUUUUCAAAAAUCAAGUAGUCACGCAUUUUGUGACCCCUAAUAAAAGUUUUGUGACCUAUAAUUAAUCAGGUUAAGAUGACAAUCACACACAAUUUAUAGUCACAGUCACAUACCAAUCACAAAUUUAGUUGCAAAUCAUAUGUUAUUAAGGUUACAUAUUAUUUAUCAGAAUGUCAGUCGCAAAGACACAAAUUGCGAGUCACAAGUACAAAUUUUAUCAUAAAUUAUAUAUUUUUAUGGGUUACAGUUUAUUUAUCAAACAGAAUUCAUCAAAUUCACGGGUCAUAAUUAUCCAAUCACUGGUUACAAUUUGCUCUUCAUCUCCCCUACGUCACCUUACCCACGCAUCAUACUCCACCAUCGUCCCUCACCAUCGAAAUCAUUGUCGCCACCUCAAACCCACAACCUAGCACCUCCUCCUCCUUAAAUUCACUGUCACCUCCAUCACACCACCACUACUGUCAUCACCAUCACCUCCACUUCCAACUCUAGCCUACCAUCUCCCUGCAUUACAAAUACACACAUACAUGAACAACCAAAUGCAUAAGCAGCGUUGCACCACCCAAAUCGUUGACUGCAGUGCUAAACUAACCAUUAACACACCGUUAUCGUCAUCUAUAGGUCCCAUCCACAAAGACCUGCAUCUUCAACUCAGCCUCUACCACAAGCCUCCACAUUCAUCUUUCCCACCAUCACUAAAAGCGGGGCGCGGUCUGGUUCGAUCUGAUUUUGAAGGGAACCAAACCGAAUCGAAUACCAAUGAAAAUCUUAGAAAUUGAACCAUUGGUUCCGUAUCCAACUAUAGAAUCGAACCAAUCGAUUCCAAUUUGGUCCGAUUGAUUCUUUAUAUUUAAAAAUUAUAAAAAUAAAGUAUGAAACUACCUGUCAAUUGAAAAAAGACAAAAAUAAAGUAUGAAACCAUUUGUUAUUAUUUUAAUCUAAAUCAAUUGAACAAUGCAACAAACAAAAAUUCAAUCUAAAACUUAAGAUCAACUCAUAAAGGCAAAAAAAAUUAUCAAACACAACAUAAAAGGUAAAAUCACGAUUGAAAAAUAGUUUCUAAGAAAAUUCGUAUAACAAUAACAUGAUUAUCUUUAGUAAUCCUCAAGGAUCUUGAUUUCUGAUGGACAAUCACUUUGGAAACAACGAAAAAUGUGAAUCCUUAUAAAAUAUUGAACUAAAGAUAUAUUUUUCCUAUUAGACUGCUUUACAACUAUGAAGUUGUGAAGUAUUUAUAAAAUUAUUUAAACUUGAAUUUUGAUUACCCAUUAAAGGAAAGAAGAAAAUGCAUAUGAAAAAUGAAAUUUCAACGUCACAUAUUUGGGUUCGAGUGUUUAAAGAUCUAGUAUAUCUUGGUUCUCGAUGCAUCGUUCCAAAUUGAUCCAUUUAGUAGAGGAAUCGAAACCAAAUCAACUGUUUCUAUUUGGUUCGGUCCGAUUCCACCCCUAACCAUUACAAUUCGAAUUUAUCCUUCAUGUCGCUGCCUCCGCACACCACCCCAAACUUCUCCUCACAAUGAAGUAAAAUAGAUUUAGGGCACGAUUAAGAAAGGCAAUUUCGAAUGCUAUGGGCUCUACAUGACUAGCGGUGGAGAGAGAAAUGGAGUCGCAAUUUUAUGAUGGAAAGAAAAAUGGAGUCGUGGUGGCAAAUCGAGCAUCAAUGGUGAGUAGGCAAUUGGGGUGUAGUCGAUAGUUAAGAUAGGCAUAUUUGGAAGACGGUGGGGUUUCAUACGACUGGAGGUGGAGAUAGAAGUGGAAUUGCAGUCUGCCGAUGAAGAGAGAAGUGGAGGCAUCGAGAUGCUAUCAUUGGAAUCACGAACAGGGGACGAUAAGUUGUUGGCGAUCAAUGGUAGGUGCUGGAGACCAGUGAUGGUUUGAUGAUAGUUGUAGAAGCAAGAGAGAUAUGUGUUUGAAUGUAGACAGAGAAAUAGACAUUGUUUGAAAGGGUAAUUAGCACGAAACGUCCUUGCCUUUCAAUGUUAUUGUGUAAAAUGUCCUUACCUUUCAUUUCUUUUGGCGUUUCUAUUCCUAUUUACAUAUUUCAUUGCAGAAAAUGUUAUUUUCAUCCAAUUUCUAAAUAAAAAAUGUAAAAUAACAAAUAUACCCUUCUAUUUAAAUAAAACAAAAACAAAGAAAA
Molecule: long non-coding RNA, 2519 nt
Filed under: Olea europaea subsp. europaea
Lineage: Eukaryota; Viridiplantae; Streptophyta; Magnoliopsida; Lamiales; Oleaceae
Source: RNAcentral